AGUGAACGCUGGCGGUAGGCCUAACACAUGCAAGUCGAACGGCAGCACAGUAAGAGCUUGCUCUUACGGGUGGCGAGUGGCGGACGGGUGAGGAAUACAUCGGAAUCUACUUUUUCGUGGGGGAUAACGCGGGGAAACUUACGCUAAUACCGCAUACGACCUACGGGUGAAAGCAGGGGAUCUUCGGACCUUGCGCGAUUGAAUGAGCCGAUGUCGGAUUAGCUAGUUGGCGGGGUAAAGGCCCACCAAGGCGACGAUCCGUAGCUGGUCUGAGAGGAUGAUCAGCCACACUGGAACUGAGACACGGUCCAGACUCCUACGGGAGGCAGCAGUGGGGAAUAUUGGACAAUGGGCGCAAGCCUGAUCCAGCCAUACCGCGUGGGUGAAGAAGGCCUUCGGGUUGUAAAGCCCUUUUGUUGGGAAAGAAAAGCAGCAGGUUAAUACCCCGCUGUUCUGACGGUACCCAAAGAAUAAGCACCGGCUAACUUCGUG
RNAcentral lists this ribosomal RNA (492 nucleotides) under uncultured bacterium. RNAcentral describes it as "partial 16S ribosomal RNA". It matches the Rfam family "Bacterial small subunit ribosomal RNA", at positions 29 to 507 of the family's 1533-position model. The record is from RNAcentral.